Molecule: ribosomal RNA, 433 nt
Filed under: uncultured bacterium
Lineage: Bacteria
Description: partial 16S ribosomal RNA
Rfam family: Bacterial small subunit ribosomal RNA
Source: RNAcentral
AUCGAACGCUGGCGGCAGGCCUAACACAUGCAAGUCGAGCGGACCCUUCGUGGUUAGCGGCUGACGGGUGAGUAGCGCGUGGGAAUAUGCCCUUCUCUACGGGAUAGUCCUGUGAAACGGGGGGUAAUACCGUAUACGCCCUUUUGGUGAAAGAUUUAUCGGGGAAGGAUUAGCCCGCGUUGGAUUAGGUAGGUGGUGUGGUAAUGGCCUACCAAGCCGACGAUCCAUAGCGGGUUUGAGAGGAUGAUCAGCGACACUGGGACUGAGACACGGUCCAGACUCCUACGGGAGGCAGCAGUGGGGAAUCUUAGACAAUGGGGGCAACCCUGAUCUAGCCAUGCCGCGUGAGUGAUGAAGGCCUUAGGGUUGUAAAGCUCUUUAAGCUGGGAAGAUAAUGACGGUACCAGCAGAAGAAGCCCCGGCUAACUCCGUG